Molecule: ribosomal RNA, 503 nt
Filed under: uncultured bacterium
Lineage: Bacteria
Description: bacterial SSU rRNA
Rfam family: Bacterial small subunit ribosomal RNA
Source: RNAcentral
GAUGAACGCUAGCGGCAGGCUUAAUACAUGCAAGUCGUGGGGCAGCAGGUUUGUAGCAAUACAGAUGCUGGCGACCGGCAAACGGGUGCGGAACACGUACAGAACCUUCCUUGAGCGGGGAAUAGCCCAGAGAAAUUUGGAUUAAUACCCCAUAGUAUAAUGAAGUGGCAUCACUUUAUUAUUAAAGAUUUAUCACUCGAAGAUGGCUGUGCGGCUGAUUAGGUAGUUGGCGGGGUAAAGGCCCACCAAGCCUGCGAUCAGUAACUGGUGUGAGAGCACGACCAGUCACACGGGCACUGAGACACGGGCCCGACUCCUACGGGAGGCAGCAGUAAGGAAUAUUGGUCAAUGGAGGCAACUCUGAACCAGCCAUGCCGCGUGGAGGAUGAAGGUCCUCUGGAUUGUAAACUUCUUUUAUAUGGGACGAAAAAAGGCUUUUCUAAGUCGUCUGACGGUACCAUAUGAAUAAGCACCGGCUAACUCCGUGCCAGCAGCCGCGGUAA